Molecule: RNA transcript, 6616 nt
Organism: Rhineura floridana
Lineage: Eukaryota; Metazoa; Chordata; Lepidosauria; Squamata; Rhineuridae
Gene: CREBZF
Gene name: CREB/ATF bZIP transcription factor
Exons: 4
Source: RefSeq, a predicted model, not a curated record
UCCGUCACGGGACACUUCCCGCUGGAGGCUUCUCUUCUGAGGUAAUUUGGGAGAGCGGGGAGGGGAGCCUGCUCCCGCCAUUUUCGGCUCUCCACAGCGGCAACCUUCCAGUCAGUGCGCAGACGCGAACAAGCUGGGCUGGUCUUCUCCGCCAUUAUUCUCUGACUACGGUGCGAGGCAGCUUGUUUAUUUCUCUCUCAAACUAAGCUGCGCUUCACAACGUUGGCGCUGAGGAGAACGGCCCUGACCGAAACCGAGCGGCAGGUCCUCUUAUCGGCCUACUUCAGCAGCGUUCUCCUCUUACAACAGGCGAGGCUGUGAAGGGCGGCGGCGGCUUGGGCCGGGGCCUACCUGCUUGCCGCCCGCCGCCAUUAUGCGCCACAGCUUGGCCCAGCUGCUGGCCACCUCGUCGGGCAGGGGGAGCCCCAGCGAGCCCUCCGCGGCUUGCUCUCUUCCUAGUGAGGGCACGUCCGUUAGGAGCGGCAGGGGCAACGCGGCGGAGGCGGGCGGUGAGGCCGAGCCGCGCCAUGAGGAAGCGGCGGCGGAUUCGCUGGAGGAGCCGGACAACGAGCUGCUUUUCCCGGCGGGCCUGGAACUAGACGACUGGUUGGAGGCGGCGGUGGUGGCUGAAACCCGGCCGGACUGGGAAAUAAAUUUCGAUGGAGAUAGGAGUCCGAGCCCCAAGACUGAGUCGGAGUCGCCGACAGGCUCAAGGCCUGCCCGGCCAGGGAGCAACCGGUUGAAGGCGGCGGCUGCAGCCCGCUUAAACCGACAGAAGAAGAAGCAGUACGUGAUGGGGUUGGAGAGCCGCUUGCAAGGCCUGGCCGCCGAGAACCGGCACCUGCGCGACCGCAACCGGGGCCUCUGCCGCCGCCUGCGGGACUUGGAGCGGGAGACCAGCUACCUGCGGGCCGUUCUGGCCAACCAGAGCGCCCUGGGCCGGCUCCUGAGCCAUUUGGCCGGGGAGGGUGGAGCCGCGAGAGUGGGGCUCAGGAUCAGCAGCAGCCUUUUUGAGGAUCAUCCGGUGGUGGCGACUGCGUUGGAGACUCCGUUCCCCUGCGACUCGAGCAGCGGCGGCAGCAGCGACCACGAUUAUGCCCUACCUGUCCCACAGCUAGAAGACUACAAGAGGGCGAUUUCUUCCAGCCCCGGCGGCAUUUGCCUCCACGUGGACCGGGACCAGGUUUCGGUGGAGUUCUGCUCCGUGUGCGCCACGCGAGCAGCAAGUUCUGCUUUUGCAGCCGAAUCACCUUCUCCCUCCUUCGCCUCUAAAAUUUUCUCUUUUAGGUGCUUGCCCUGCCAGGCUCCGUUGUGUAGGGGUUAAAAGAACAGUCGUUUUCCACCUCGCAACCUGUGGAUACAGCUGUCAUGGGGCAGAAGAGACGGGACCAGCUGCUGGCACACUUCCUGCUUUAUUUUAAAAGCUUAGUAGUAUCGUGGGGGGAAUCAUUAUUCUGCACCCUAUAGCUUCCUGGAGAGAUGGCAUAAAAGUAAUUACGAAGAGUCAUAUUUCAAAUUGGCAUUCAACAAAAUGAAUACAGUACUCUUUCCAUCAGUCUGCUACCAUUUAACCAAAAAUAGAAGUCUAUUAUUUGACACUUUUGGACUGGAUUUGAAAAGCAGUAGAAUCCCAAAAGACGUUUGUGGUGUUUUAGGUAAGGUUUACCUGGCUCUUAGUAUGAUUUGAAAAAAUACACUCCUUAAAGCAGGAGUAGCCAGCCUUUUUGGAUCAGAAGACACACUUCAAAUUUUGAAAGAGUGCUGGGGGCACCGGUCAUAAAAUGGCUGCCAUAAGACUAUUAGAGAAUAGUUAUGGCGAAGCUUUUCCUGCAAUUGUAUUUCCACAGUAGGAAAAGCUUGACCUGUUGAAUUCCUGUCAUACAGCUGCUCCCACCCCCCUGUGCCAAUCCUAAACCAAACCCUAGGCUGCCUGCCAUCCUGUACUUGCAUACCUGGAAGUAAGCCCCAUUAAACACAAAGACUUGUUUCUGAGUAGAAUUGUAUACUGUUGCACUGUAAGUUAACUAUGCAGUGAAUUCCUAAUAAGGCCCUGGUUUUUAACUCCUGUGAGCAGGAGGCAUGAUUAAGUCUCUUUGCAAAGUUUUCACAUUUGCCUUUUGGGGGGGGGAUUCUUUAUUAUUGACCCACACUGAUUGUUUAGUAGUAUUUGCAGAAAAUAACUUAUAGGUACUACCUUAUCUCAGGUAAACCCAGCAUAGGAAAGAUGCAUCCUUAUUUCUAGGGAAAGAGGGCAAAUAUGAAAAUUCCAAGGACCAGGAAAAAAGACAAACAGGAAAAGUGCACUAAAAGGGAGGGCAAGAUAGCAGCUCUUUAGGACCCCAAGGAUUUCUAUUGUAUGGUGUCCAGUCACGGCUCUGACCUCACUCAUUGGCUAAAAACAUUGACAAGCAGGAGCAGCAGGCUGGCUCAUUUCAUAGAAAUUGCUUAGAAGGGUACUUUGACAUUUUGCUCCAUAACUUACUUUCUAGGAGGACACUUUUUAAAAAAUGCUCGGAUUCUAGACUACUUGAUGUGGCCACCACUGAAGGCCUUUAUGGGGGCCAUGGUGCCUGUGGGCAAUUGGUUGAUAACACCCAUUAGAACUAUAGUAUAGAAUCCCUGCAGUUACACUGGGUAUCAAUAUCUCACCCCUCUCUGCCUGCAGAGCACUAGAGUAGUCUAGACAAUUUAAUUUAAAAAUCCUCCAGAGCUUUUUAGUGCUUUGCAAGCUUUCUUGAAAAGCCCCUUGCAUAUAGCUUUGAUGCAACUGUCUUUAAGCAAGCAUUCAUGUGAACCUGGAAGCUACUUUUUUUAAAAAAGGUACAAGCAAGGAGACCAUUUACCACAAUCAGCAGGAAAACCCAUUGCCCCACCCCCAAAAGAUUUUAAAGUUCUCAUACUGAUCUCUUUUCACAAUAAUUUCUUUCCACUUAUACCCCAUUUUAACCAUAGAAUAGUUAAAAAACCAAACCUGUCCUUGACUAUGAGGUCCAGGCAGGUUAUAACAAUUUUAAAAUACAAUAUUAAAAAUGAGGCCAAUAUGCAAAGAGCUACUUUUUUAAAAAAAAUUCAGAGGUUUGGUUUAGAUAGAUAAGAAGGAAAAACCAAUCAAAUGAUGGCUGCACAAUUUCAGAUUUAAUUUUUUAGUUCUUCAGGAUCCUCCCCAGGCUCAGGCAACUGGAGCAUUUUAAUAUAUAUUUCAUGAUGUUUUGAACUCAAAAAUGUGCCAAAUGCAACUUGAAGGAGUACAGCAAAUUUCAUUUUUUUGUAAAUAGGCUUGCUAAUUGUGAUCCAGUACCGCAAGAAGUUUCUUUUAUCUGGCAAGGGAGCUGUGCAGGACCUAGAGAAAAAAGAUACAUGAGCGUUAAUGUUUAAUCAAGGCUAAUUUCAACUGGUAUUCUAUCUGUGGCAGAGAAGCAGUUUGCUAGUUUAAAAGAGCUGGUAAAGUAGGGAGAAGUCUCUUCUCAGUUGCUGCAGUAGUCUGAAGCUUUUUGUCUGCUCAGAUACGGAGUUUAUUAGGAGAUGUUUUUUAAGAUUAAGCAGUCAAAAUGGGUGCUAGCCCAAUUCUUACCAACAAGCAUACUAGAUGUCACAUCUCUGUCUCUCUCCUCCUGUGCUACCUCAGUUUUGCUUGCUUUUUCUAUGAUUAUGAAGUUCUAUAUACUGGCAGAAGACUUGCUAAUCAAAGCAUUAAUGAGAAUAGAUAGGAAACUGAUUUAAGUGGUACCUGAAAAUGUGCAGAAAGGUGUUCUAUAAACUAGUAGCUUCGUAUUGUUGCCAAAAUAUAGCGGAGUUACAGGCACAAAUGUAUGAGCUUACUAAAAGUAUUUAAAGUAUAAGAGAAUCAAGCAUAAUACCAAGAAUGUCAACUCAAUUUUCUGCCUUAUCUUGGAAUUUUAUAGCUAUUCAUUUACAAUGGAUGUUUACAACCACUUUGGGUUUGGUCCAUUAUCCAUGCCUGCAUUCAAAUUGCCCCUUCGGACUUGUUCAGCAAUGAAAGAACAGUAGAAUGCUUGCGAUUGAAGCAGAUUACCCUCAGGCAAUGAAUGUCUGAAUAGAGACAUCGAGGGGACACUAUCUUUGGAAUUAAAAUUUAGGUGAUCACAGAAAAUGGAUGUUGAAAGCAAUGUGUGCAUUUUAAACUGAAGUUCCAGUUUAGGGAUUUGCCUUGUAAAGGUGAACAGCACUUAGGUCCCUGUGAACAUCUGCCAGGGAGCGCCUUGGGUAGAACUGCUUUUGCUGCGACUUCCCUCUAAGGGCCCCCCCAAUCCAUCUAACCAGGAGCCAAGACUGCUGCUACUCAGCCAGUAGUGGCAGAAGCAGGGCACAGCAGAGAGCAGCUGCUACCACAAGGUAGCAAUAAGGGGGAGGGAGUGGCUUCUGGGAGAGGGAGGAAAGAAACAGACCACUGUCUUGGCUCCACUAGAGUCCUUUCACCUAUUUGCAGGGAAGCAGAAGGAGCCGAGAGAAGACCUUUCCCCAACCCUAUGGGAUUAGCAUUUAAGAGGAUGUGGCCUUUGGUAGCCUCAGGAUAUCGUAAGUAGGGACCAGCAGGGAGGAGCUCCUGGACCUUUCACUCCCCAAAUACCAAAGCAGGUGGAGCAAAGGCUAUUGGGAUGAAGUGAUUGUACCGCUGGGGAAGGGCAGGUGGAGUUGAAGGCUUGAUCCUGUAUCUGCUGUGAAUCCUCAAUAAAUCAUGAAUAGCUGCACUUGGCUUGUUUAGUCCUCACCAGGGGUUUGAGUUGAAUAUAAUUUCCCUUUCAAGUGCCCCUUCUCCAGGAGGGCUACAUAGUUCCAACAACAGCAGUCUUCCCUCCCACCCAGUACAAUUAAUUUUCCAAGAUGGGUUAUGUACCCAUAUACCUUGCUGCAGUAGCUGCAUUCAGAGAUAAAGCUAGGACAGUAGGGUAAAAACAGCCUACAACUCCUCCAAUUAAACCUCCUCUGACCCAAGUACAAGUUGCACAGUUUAGAUCACCUGGAGAAAAAAACAAAUGAGUUGGAAAACUGCAUUUAAAAUUAUCUCACUGAAAUCUGCAGACAUGAGAAUUUAUUGAUUUACUGACAACAUCCCUAUGUGCAGGCUUGGAUGGCAGCAUUUUAAAAACAGCUUUCCUAAUUUGCAUGAGAUAUUGUCAAGCUAAUGAGAAGCUGCUCACAUUUCAUUAGUAAAAGUAUUGCUACAAAAUAUCUCAAUGGUCCUCUAAGUGCAGUGAGCCUUGAAAAGGGAAGCCAACACAUUGGCUGUAUCCACUGCACUGUGGAAACAGGAGGUUCCAGCACUAUAGACUACUCUUCACCAAAAUGCAGACAAUGACAUCGUCCAGAGAGAGGUGAUUCUUCAUACAACCUAAUAUACGGGACUCUGAGAAACAUCACCAUUCCUUAACUGGCCAAAAUGGAAGGUUGUGUGUUUUAUGUUAUUUUAACUGUGCUGUCCUGCAAUUAACAUCUAAAAAGAAUGUUCAGGGAGGUGACUGAGUGAAUAGAUGGAUCUUUUUGAAUGCAAGAAUGAAGUGUAUCCUAUACCAAAAAGGGGCAAAUGGCAGGGUUGAUUUGGUUUAAAUCACUUCUCUAAAGGACUCUGUUUUAAUUAUUUAAAUCACAGUUAAAAUCACUAAUGUGGAAGAUUCUACUUAAUCUUUUUUAGUAGAAGUACAUUAUUGUUUAAUAAAGAUGUACAUUUCAUUAGAAGGUAGGUACACACUAAGCAAUUCUGAAUGAACUUGUAAAGUAAUUCAGGAAAUGAACCAGCUGCAACUGUUCAACUAAUCAUGAUAUUUUUGUCAUGUGCCAGAAUCACCGCCACCGAACAGGCUUUUAAAUUGUACUAAUAAAAUUGUUCUUCUGGUUAUUUUUCUUCUUUAACAAACAACAUAAUAAAACAUGCAUAGGGAUUUUUGAAUGGUUAACUAUUUCAUCAAGCGUUUUAUGUAGAGGCCUUAUGUCAGUCUGCAUCUAUGUUGGAAUUACUUUUUAAAAUAUUUUUAAAGCUUUUUUAAAAAAGAUGUUUUGUUUUAAUAUAUUUUAAAGUCUGUUUCAUGGUGUAUUAGAGUGUUUUUGUUUGCUGCCCUGGACUGCUGCUGGGAGGAUGGACAGGAUAUAAAUUUAAUACAAUAAAUAAAAAAGUAAUGUUUUAGGUAAAUUCUUUAAAAAAUAAUAUUUAGGUCAUUUUAACCAAAUCAACAUGAGAAACUUAAAAUAUUGGGUAAUACAGUUAACUCAGCCUUUUUUGUCUUGUUAAUUGUCUGGAAAAGAAAGACAAGGUUUCCUGCCUUUUCAGUUCCCAACAUACUUCUUAAUUUAGAAUGAAUUAGUCCAAAGGAAGGAAAAUUCUCUCUAUGCCUGCAGAAGAGGCAACUACUGAAGAGCUGGAGUUACCACUUCAGUUGUCUCCAUCUCCUCAAAUUCUCCAUUCAUUGACCUUUUCUAUCUUUUCACUUAAAGAGACAAGGCCUUGAGAUAGAGCACUUCAUGUAUACCACCUCCAGAAUAGGACUGAUCAGGUUAUCUCCAUCUCCAUAAACUGCUGUUAACGUAUUCAUAGAAUUAGAAGUUAUAUAAUUAGUAGUCAUAAUAUCUUUCACCUAGGCUCUUUUUUUUUACUAAUUGUUUA